CAUGGUCUAGCUAGUUCUAAUCAAGCAAAACGCCACUUGCAGUUUGCCCCCCCGAAACUAGGUGAGCUACUUCAAAACAGCCUUUAGGGCGAACCCGUCUCUGUUGCAAUAGGGUGGGAAGAUUUUCAAGUAGAGGUGACAUGCCUAUCGAACUUAGAGAUAGCUGGUUACUCGGGAAAAGAACCUUAGUUCUACCUUAAGCCUCCCCCGCAAACAAAAGCUAAACGGACUUAAGAGCUAUUCAAAUAAGGUACAGCUUAUUUGAAACAGGUUACAACCUUUAUUAUAGGGUAAAGCACGAUAUUCUACAAAAAAGUGGGCCUAAGAGCAGCCACCAAGAAAAAGCGUUAAAGCUUAACUGUAGAAACCCUUCAAUGUCUUUAUUUACUCUGAACCCAUUACCACUACCGAGUGAUUUUAUAACUUUAUAAAAGCCACAAUGCUAGAACUAGUAACGAGAAAUAGAUUUCUCCUUAGUGUAAACUUAAGCCGACCACUUUAUCGCGGCAGUUAGCGAACGUUUAUGAUCCCAUUAUAUUAACCACAACUAGAGAACCAUAUAGCACCGAACGUUAACCUGACACCAGAACACUUCAGGAAGAUUAAAAGGGAAAGAAGGAACUCGGCAAAUUAAAAGACCCGCCUGUUUAC
This 651-nucleotide ribosomal RNA is filed under the name Ptychadena mascareniensis (Masarene ridged frog). Its description in RNAcentral is "partial 16S ribosomal RNA". It matches the Rfam family "Bacterial large subunit ribosomal RNA", at positions 614 to 1739 of the family's 2925-position model. The record is from RNAcentral. Lineage: Eukaryota; Metazoa; Chordata; Amphibia; Anura; Ptychadenidae.